GACGAACGCUGGCGGCGUGCUUAACACAUGCAAGUCGAACGGAAAGGCCCGGCUUUUGUGGGGUGCUCGAGUGGCGAACGGGUGAGUAACACGUGAGUAACCUGCCCUUGACUUUGGGAUAACUUCAGGAAACUGGGGCUAAUACCGGAUAGGAGCUCCUGCUGCAUGGUGGGGGUUGGAAAGUUUCGGCGGUUGGGGAUGGACUCGCGGCUUAUCAGCUUGUUGGUGGGGUAGUGGCUUACCAAGGCUUUGACGGGUAGCCGGCCUGAGAGGGUGACCGGCCACAUUGGGACUGAGAUACGGCCCAGACUCCUACGGGAGGCAGCAGUGGGGAAUAGUGCACAAUGGGCGGAGGCCUGAUGCAGCAACGCCGCGUGCGGGAUGACGGCCUUCGGGUUGUAAACCGCUUUCGCCUGUGACGAGGCGUGAGUGACGGUAAUGGGUAAAGAAGCACCGGCUAACUACGUG
RNAcentral lists this ribosomal RNA (468 nucleotides) under uncultured bacterium. RNAcentral's name for it is "partial 16S ribosomal RNA". It matches the Rfam family "Bacterial small subunit ribosomal RNA", at positions 28 to 507 of the family's 1533-position model. The record is from RNAcentral.